GCCUGCCCUGUGACCCCUGGUUUAACGGCCGCGGUAUCCUGACCGUGCGAAGGUAGCGCAAUCACUUGUCCCUUAAAUGAGGACCUGUAUGAAUGGCACGACGAGGGCUUAACUGUCUCCUUUCCCCGGCCAAUGAAAUUGAUCUUCCCGUGCAGAAGCGGGAAUACUAACAUAAGACGAGAAGACCCUAUGGAGCUUUAGACGCCAGAGCAGACCAUGUCAACUACCUCCUCAACAUAAGUGGCAAUAAUUGAGCUCCUGCUCCCCGUCUUUGGUUGGGGCGACCACGGGGAACAAAAAAACCCCCACGUGGACCGGGAGCACACCUACUCCUAGAACCGCGAGCAACCGCUCUAAAUUACAGAACUUCUGACCAAAAAGAUCCGGCAACGCCGAUCAACGAAUCCAGUUACCCUAGGGAUAACAGCGCAAUCCUCUUCAAGAGUCCAUAUCGAC
This 456-nucleotide ribosomal RNA is filed under the name Mugil curema (white mullet). Its description in RNAcentral is "partial 16S ribosomal RNA". It matches the Rfam family "Bacterial large subunit ribosomal RNA", at positions 1857 to 2509 of the family's 2925-position model. Lineage: Eukaryota; Metazoa; Chordata; Actinopteri; Mugiliformes; Mugilidae. The record is from RNAcentral.